UGUGAACUGUGCUGCUACAAACAUGGGUAUGCAUUUAUCACCAUAGUAUGAUGACUUUGACACUUUAGGUUAAAUACCAAGGAGUAUUACAGCUGGUGGUUCCAUUUCUAGUUUUUUGAGGAAAUUUUAUUCUAAUUUCCAUAGUGGUAGUACUAAUUUACAUUUCCACCAAUAGUGUAAAAGUGUUCCUUUUUCUCUACAUUUUCUCCAACAUUUAUUAUCAUUUGCAUUCUUGCUGUCUGCCAUUAUAAGCUGGACACCACAAAUAUUUAAUACAGUUCCUAGAAAACAGUAGAUAUUCCAUAGGUUCAGGUGGUAAUCAUUCUAUUGUUCUUCUUUAUUUUAUUUAUUUGAAUUUGUUAUAUAUGAAAGCAGAAUGCAAUUCAAUUCAUAUUGGACAAACGGAGCACACUUUUUCAUAUCUUUGGUUGUACACGAAGAAGAGUCACAUCAUUGUGUUUACAUACAUGUUCCUAGGGUAAUGAUGUCCAUCUCAUUCCACUGUCUUUCCUACCCCAUUACCCAUCCGUUCCCUCCCUCCCCUUUGCACUAUCUAAUGUUCCUCCCAUGCUCCCCGCAAUCCCCAUUAUGAGUCAGUAUCCUAAUAUCAGAGAAAAGAUUUGGCAUUUGUUUUUUGGGAAUUGGCUUAUUUCACUUAGUAUUAUAUUCUCCACCUCCGUCCAUUUACCUGCAAAUGCCAUGAUUUUAUUCUCUUUUAAUGCUGAGUAAUAUUCCACUAUGUAUAUAUACCACAUUUUCUUUAUAUACUCAUCUACUGAAGGUAUCUAGGUUGGUUCCACAAUUUAGUUAUUUUGAAUUGUGCUGCUAUAAACAUAAAUAUGUCUGCAUCCCUAGAGUAUGCUGUUUUUAAGUCCUUUGAGUAUAGACCUAGAAGUGGGAUAGCUGGGUCAAAGGUGGUUCCAUUCACGGUUUUCCAAGGAAUCUCCAUACUGCUUUUUAUAAUGGUUGUACCAAUUUGCAGUCCCACCAGCAGUGUAUGAGUGUACAUUUCCCCCCACAUCCUCACCAAUACUUAUUAUUGUUUGUAUUCUUUUUUUUUUUUUGGUGAGGAUCAUUUUAUUUUUUUUAAUUUUUUUAUUGUUGGUUGUUCAAAACAUUACAUAGUUCUUGAUAUAUCAUAUUUCACACUUUGAUUCAAGUGGGUUAUGAACUCCCAUUUUUACCCCGUAUACAGAUUGCAGAAUCACAUCAGUUACACAUCCAUUGAUUUACAUAUUGCCAUACUAGUGUCUGUUGUGUUCUGCUGCCUUUCCUAUCCUCUACUAUCCCCCCUCCGUUUGUAUUCUUUUUUUUAAAAAAAAUUAAUAUUUAUUUUUAGUUUCUGGCGGACAUAACAUCUUUGUUUGUAUGUGGUGCUGAGGAUCGAACCCGGGCCGCACGCAUUCCAGGAGAGCGCGGUACCGCUUGAGCCACAUCCCCAGCCCUAGUUGUUUGUAUUCUUAAUAGCUACCAUUCUGACUGGAGUGAGAUGAAAUCUUAAGAGUAGUUUUGAUUUGCACUUCUCUAAUUACUAGAGGUGUUGAACAUUUUUUCGUAUAUUUGUUCUUUGAUUGCAUAUCAUCUUCUUAGAAGUGUCUGUUCAGUUUCUUGGCCCAUUUAUUGAUUGGAUCAUUUGGGGUUUUUUUUGGUAUUAAGAUUUUUGAGUUCUUU
Molecule: long non-coding RNA, 1671 nt
Filed under: Marmota monax (woodchuck)
Lineage: Eukaryota; Metazoa; Chordata; Mammalia; Rodentia; Sciuridae
Source: RNAcentral